Molecule: ribosomal RNA, 480 nt
Filed under: uncultured bacterium
Lineage: Bacteria
Description: partial 16S ribosomal RNA
Rfam family: Bacterial small subunit ribosomal RNA
Source: RNAcentral
GACGAACGCUGGCGGCGUGCCUAACACAUGCAAGUCGAGCGAGUGAAUCUCCUUCGGGAGUGAAGCUAGCGGCGGACGGGUGAGUAACACGUGGGCAACCUGCCUCAUAGAGGGGAAUAGCCUUCCGAAAGGAAGAUUAAUACCGCAUAAGAUUGUAGCUUCGCAUGAAGUAGCAAUUAAAGGAGCAAUCCGCUAUGAGAUGGGCCCGCGGCGCAUUAGCUAGUUGGUGAGGUAACGGCUCACCAAGGCGACGAUGCGUAGCCGACCUGAGAGGGUGAUCGGCCACAUUGGGACUGAGACACGGCCCAGACUCCUACGGGAGGCAGCAGUGGGGAAUAUUGCACAAUGGGGGAAACCCUGAUGCAGCAACGCCGCGUGAGUGAUGACGGCCUUCGGGUUGUAAAGCUCUGUCUUCAGGGACGAUAAUGACGGUACCUGAGGAGGAAGCCACGGCUAACUACGUGCCAGCAGCCGCCGUAA